AUUGAACGCUGGCGGCAGGCCUAACACAUGCAAGUCGAGCGAGCGGCGGACGGGUGAGUAAUGUCUGGGGAUCUGCCCGAUAGCGGGGGAUAACUACUGGAAACGGUGUCUAAUACCGCAUACUAUCGGAUGAACCCAUAUGGGAUUAGCUAGUAGGUGGGGUAAAGGCUCACCUAGGCGACGAUCUCUAGCUGGUCUGAUAGGAUGAUCAGCCACACUGUGACUGAGAUACGGCCCAGACUCCUACGGGAGGCAGCAGUGGGGAAUAUUGCACAAUGGGCGCAAGCCUGAUGCAGCGAGGCCGCGUGUAUGAAGAAGGACGUAGGGUUGUAAAGUACUGUCAGCGGGGGGGCGUUACCCGCAGAAGAAGCACCGGCUAACUCCGUGCCAGCAGCCGCGGUAAUUC
Molecule: ribosomal RNA, 406 nt
Filed under: uncultured bacterium
Lineage: Bacteria
Description: partial 16S ribosomal RNA
Rfam family: Bacterial small subunit ribosomal RNA
Source: RNAcentral